CCUACGGGCGGCAGCAGUGAGGAAUAUUGGUCAAUGGGCGAGAGCCUGAACCAGCCAAGUCGCGUGAGGGAGUACUGCCCUAUGGGUUGUAAACCUCUUUUGUCGGGGAGCAAAAGCCGGACGUGUCCGGCUGUGAGAGUACCCGAAGAAAAAGCAUCGGCUAACUCCGUGCCAGCAGCCGCGGUAAUACGGAGGAUGCGAGCGUUAUCCGGAUUUAUUGGGGUUAAAGGGUGCGCAGGCGGCUUUUUAAGUCAGCGGUCAAAUCGUGGGGCUCAACCCCAUCCAGCCGUUGAAACUGGGGAUCUAGAGUGUGCGAGAGGUAUGCGGAAUGCGUGGUGUAGCGGUGAAAUGCAUAGAUAUCACGCAGAACCCCGAUUGCGAAGGCAGCAUACCGGUGCACAACUGACGCUCAGGCACGAAAGCGUGGGUAUCGAACAGGAUUAGAUACCCCAGUAGUC
Molecule: ribosomal RNA, 458 nt
Filed under: uncultured bacterium
Lineage: Bacteria
Description: partial 16S ribosomal RNA
Rfam family: Bacterial small subunit ribosomal RNA
Source: RNAcentral